UUAAAUGAAAAUUUGGCCUUCACUACAGGAAAAAUUGAGAAAGAAUUUUAAGUAAGGAGAGAGGCGAGAAAUGGAAUGACCAUACUGUUAAAUUUUCAAAUUCAAAGUCUUCUGAAGAACACAGCAGGAUAGCUUGCAUUGAAGACAUGUACAAGAAAAGUAUCAACAGAUUAGAAAAUAAUGUGCAGGCGUUAGUAAGAGAAAAUCUAGAGUUGAGGAAAUUGUUGGAUAAUGUCAGCAGUGACUUGGCCCAUCUGUUGACUAAAAACCCAUCUGGACGAAAAUAUUGAUAUUAUUGAGGAAAAACCAGGAUGACGCUAUCAUCGUAAGACAUUCUUAAUACUCUGAUCUCAGCCGUAUUGUAAAAAAGUCAUUUUGUUAUUUGGUGAAAAUGAUUAAUUAGCAUAGUUUCUUUUGUAACAUUUGUACUAAAUACAAGUUAGUUAACACUCGA
Molecule: long non-coding RNA, 454 nt
Organism: Homalodisca vitripennis (glassy-winged sharpshooter)
Lineage: Eukaryota; Metazoa; Arthropoda; Insecta; Hemiptera; Cicadellidae
Exons: 4
Source: RefSeq, a predicted model, not a curated record